CAUAUCAAUAAGCGGAGGAAAAGAAACUAACAAGGAUUCCCCUAGUAACUGCGAGUGAAGCGGGAAAAGCUCAAAUUUAAAAUCUGGCGGUCUCUGACUGUCCGAGUUGUAAUCUAGAGAAGCGUUAUCCGCGCUGGACCGUGUACAAGUCUCCUGGAAUGGAGCGUCAUAGAGGGUGAGAAUCCCGUCUUUGACACGGACUGCCAGGGCUUUGUGAUGCGCUCUCAAAGAGUCGAGUUGUUUGGGAAUGCAGCUCAAAAUGGGUGGUAAAUUCCAUCUAAAGCUAAAUAUUGGCGAGAGACCGAUAGCGAACAAGUACCGUGAGGGAAAGAUGAAAAGAACUUUGGAAAGAGAGUUAAACAGUACGUGAAAUUGCUGAAAGGGAAACGCUUGAAGUCAGUCGCGUUGGCCAGGGAUCAACCUUGCUUUUGCUUGGUGUACUUUCUGGUUGACGGGUCAGCAUCAAUUUUGACUAUUGGAAAAAGGUCAAGGGAAUGUGGCAUCUUCGGAUGUGUUAUAGCCCUUGGUUGCAUACAAUGGUUGGGAUUGAGGAACUCAGCACGCCGCAAGGCCGGGUUUUAACCACGUACGUGCUUAGGAUGCUGGCAAAAUGGCUUUAAUCGACCCGUCUUGAAACACGGACCAAGGAGUCUAACAUGCCUGCGAGUGUUUGGGUGGAAAACCCGAGCGCGUAAUGAAAGUGAAAGUUGAGAUCCCUGUCGUGGGGAGCAUCGACGCCCGGACCAGACCUUUUGUGACGGUUCCGCGGUAGAGCAUGUAUGUUGGGACCCGAAAGAUGGUGAACUAUGCCUGAAUAGGGUGAAGCCAGAGGAAACUCUGGUGGAGGCUCGUAGCGAUUCUGACGUGCAAAUCGAUCGUCAAAUUUGGGUAUAGGGGCGAAAGACUAAUCGAACCAUCUAGUAGCUG
This is a ribosomal RNA of 927 nucleotides. It matches the Rfam family "Eukaryotic large subunit ribosomal RNA", at positions 39 to 953 of the family's 3401-position model.